CAAGAUGAAAGGACUACAAAAAGGUAGGCUAAAUUUAAUUUAUGAUAUUUUUGGCUGAUAUGUAUUACAAAUGAACGCAAAAUUUGCCCUUUUCAGUUUGAAAUACUUGUAAUCAUUUUGCAACUAUCCAAGUAAUUGUUGAAACAGUGUAGAGACUGAUGGCCGAUGAAGAAUGGGGCAAAUGUGAAAAAAAAGACUGGGUCGAGGAAGUCGGUGAGAAGAAAGAUGGCGGCUGUUUUGAUCGUGCAGGUUGAGCAGAUGGUGGUGGUGUCACAUGGUCUGAACCUACUCCGGUCAAGACAGCAUCGAAUCCAGCUGAAAUGCUUCCUCCUGGAAUUGUACACGUGUAUGAUGGGUCUUCUGUCACAUUGAACUGGAGCUACAGUCUGACGUUAGGCCUAGGCCUUGGUGGUCUCGUAAUUAAAUUCAACGGGUUUGGCACAGUCAGCAUUAGAUCAGAAGAUGGUUCAACUGGCAUGGUCGUGUCAGUGAUAAUUUUCAGAAACGGUUCAGCGUAAGCUGACAACUCCAGGAAGAAUUUCUCUGUCUAUCUCUGCGGUGGCUGUUACGGACGACAUUGUCAAUGGAGAAUUUAGAUGCGAGUUCAAUGAUUCCAAUAUUGGUCCUUGGAAACGAGCAAAUACAAGUGUAAGUCAUAAGCCUGGUAAGGUUAAAGUAUUGCUGGCUUUUAGAGAGGCACAUUUUAACUGUAAAAUAUUAUUAUCCACAUAUGUCAAAAAAAAA
This is a long non-coding RNA of Stylophora pistillata, 744 nucleotides long. The record is from RefSeq and is a predicted model, not a curated record. Lineage: Eukaryota; Metazoa; Cnidaria; Anthozoa; Scleractinia; Pocilloporidae.